This 253-nucleotide ribosomal RNA is filed under the name uncultured bacterium. RNAcentral's name for it is "partial 16S ribosomal RNA". It matches the Rfam family "Bacterial small subunit ribosomal RNA", at positions 524 to 776 of the family's 1533-position model. The record is from RNAcentral.
UACAGAGGGUGCGAGCGUUAAUCGGAGUUACUGGGCGUAAAGGGCGCGUAGGCGGUAUUAUGGGUGUGAUGUGAAAGCCCUGGGCUUAACCUAGGAAGUGCAUCGCAAACUAUAGUACUGGAGUAUAUGAGAGGGUGGCGGAAUUUCCGGUGUAGCGGUGAAAUGCGUAGAGAUCGGAAGGAACGUCGAUGGCGAAGGCAGCCACCUGGCAUAAUACUGACGCUGAGGCGCGAAAGCGUGGGGAGCGAACAGG